RNAcentral lists this ribosomal RNA (465 nucleotides) under uncultured bacterium. RNAcentral describes it as "partial 16S ribosomal RNA". It matches the Rfam family "Bacterial small subunit ribosomal RNA", at positions 338 to 795 of the family's 1533-position model. The record is from RNAcentral.
CCUACGGGAGGCAGCAGUAGGGAAUCUUCCACAAUGGACGAAAGUCUGAUGGAGCAACGCCGCGUGAGUGAAGAAGGGUUUAGGCUCGUAAAGCUCUGUUGGUAGUGAAGAAAGAUAGAGGUAGUAACUGGCCUUGAUUUUACGGUAAUUUCUUAGAACGUCACGGCUAACUACGUGCCAGCAGCCGCGGUAAUACGUAGGUGGCAAGCGUUGUCCGGCUUUGUUGGGAUGAAAGCGAGUGCAGGUGGUUCAAUAAGUCUGUUGUGAAAGCCUUCGGCUCAACCGGAGAAUUGCAUCAGAAAGUGUGGAACUUGAGUACAGAUGAGGAGAGUGGAACUCCAGGUGUAGCGGUGGAAUGCGUAGAUAUAUGGAAGAACACCAGUGGCGAAGGCGGCUCUCUGGUCUGCAACUGACGCUGAGGCUCGAAAGCAUGGGUAGCGAACAGGAUUAGAUACCCGAGUAGUC